UGGGGAAUAUUGCACAAUGGGCGCAAGCCUGAUGCAGCCAUGCCGCGUGUAUGAAGAAGGCCUUCGGGUUGUAAAGUACUUUCAGUCGGGAGGAAGGUGGUAAGGUUAAUAACCUUGGCAAUUAACGUUACCGACAGAAGAAGCACCGGCUAACUCCGUGCCAGCAGCCGCGGUAAUACGGAGGGUGCAAGCGUUAAUCGGAAUUACUGGGCGUAAAGCGCACGCAGGCGGUUGAUUGAGUCAGAUGUGAAAUCCCCGGGCUUAACCCGGGAAUUGCAUCUGAUACUGGUCAGCUAGAGUCUUGUAGAGGGGGGUAGAAUUCCAUGUGUAGCGGUGAAAUGCGUAGAGAUGUGGAGGAAUACCGGUGGCGAAGGCGGCCCCCUGGACGAAGACUGACGCUCAGGUGCGAAAGCGUGGGGAGCAAACAGG
This 429-nucleotide ribosomal RNA is filed under the name Chloroflexota bacterium. RNAcentral's name for it is "Chloroflexi bacterium partial 16S ribosomal RNA". It matches the Rfam family "Bacterial small subunit ribosomal RNA", at positions 355 to 776 of the family's 1533-position model. Lineage: Bacteria; Bacillati; Chloroflexota. The record is from RNAcentral.